GGGGUUGUGGCUCAGUGGUAGAGCCCUUACCUAGCAUGUGUGAGGCCCUGGGUUCAAUCCUCAGCACCA
This is a non-coding RNA of Ictidomys tridecemlineatus (thirteen-lined ground squirrel), 69 nucleotides long. The record is from Rfam. NCBI's taxonomy places the organism in Eukaryota, Metazoa, Chordata, Mammalia, Rodentia, Sciuridae.